UGCAGUCGAGCGGUAGAGAGAAGCUUGCUUCUCUUGAGAGCGGCGGACGGGUGAGUAAUGCCUAGGAAUCUGCCUGGUAGUGGGGGAUAACGUUCGGAAACGGACGCUAAUACCGCAUACGUCCUACGGGAGAAAGCAGGGGACCUUCGGGCCUUGCGCUAUCAGAUGAGCCUAGGUCGGAUUAGCUAGUUGGUGGGGUAAUGGCUCACCAAGGCGACGAUCCGUAACUGGUCUGAGAGGAUGAUCAGUCACACUGGAACUGAGACACGGUCCAGACUCCUACGGGAGGCAGCAGUGGGGAAUAUUGGACAAUGGGCGAAAGCCUGAUCCAGCCAUGCCGCGUGUGUGAAGAAGGUCUUCGGAUUGUAAAGCACUUUAAGUUGGGAGGAAGGGUUGUAGAUUAAUACUCUGCAAUUUUGACGUUACCGACAGAAUAAGCACCGGCUAACUCUGUGC
This 456-nucleotide ribosomal RNA is filed under the name Pseudomonas sp. RNAcentral's name for it is "bacterial SSU rRNA". It matches the Rfam family "Bacterial small subunit ribosomal RNA", at positions 56 to 508 of the family's 1533-position model. Lineage: Bacteria; Pseudomonadati; Pseudomonadota; Gammaproteobacteria; Pseudomonadales; Pseudomonadaceae. The record is from RNAcentral.